GGUGGCGAGCGUUGCCCGGAAUCACUGGGCGUAAAGGGGGCGUAGGCGGCCGGACAAGUCAGACGUGAAAGCCCGGGGCUCAACCCCGGAAUGGCGUCUGAUACUGUCUGGCUUGAGGCCCGGAGAGGCCGGCGGAAUUCCCGGUGUAGGGGUGAAAUCCGUAGAUAUCGGGAGGAACACCGGUGGCGAAGGCGGCCGGCUGGACGGCGCCUGACGCUGAGGCCCGAAAGCGUGGGGAGCAAACCGGAUUAGAUACCCGGGUAGUCCACGCCGUAAACGAUGGGUGCUAGGUGUGGGGGGUUAAACCCUCCGUGCCGAAGCUAACGCAUUAAGCACCCCGCCUGGGGAGUACGGCCGCAAGGCUGAAACUCAAAGGAAUUGACGGGGGCCCGCACAAGCGGUGGAGCACGUGGUUUAAUUCGAUGCAAAGCGAAGAACCUUACCCGGGUUUGACAUGCUAGGGAACCCGGCAGAGAUGUCGGGGUGCCCAGGUUUUACCUGGGAGCCCUAGCACAGGUGCUGCAUGGCUGUCGUCAGCUCGUGUCGUGAGAUGUUGGGUUAAGUCCCGCAACGAGCGCAACCCUCGCCCUUAGUUGCCAGCGGUUUGGCCGGGCACUCUAAGGGGACUGCCGGGGACAACCCGGAGGAAGGAGGGGAUGACGUCAAGUCAUCAUGGCCCUUAUGCCCGGGGCUACACACGUGCUACAAUGGGCGGUACAGAGGGUUGCGAACCCGCGAGGGGGAGCUAAUCCCAGAAAGCCGUCCUCAGCUCGGAUCGGGGUCUGCAACUCGACCCCGUGAAGUCGGAAUCGCUAGUAACGGCGGAUCAGCAUGCCGCCGUGAAUACGUUCCCGGGCC
Molecule: ribosomal RNA, 858 nt
Filed under: uncultured bacterium
Lineage: Bacteria
Description: bacterial SSU rRNA
Rfam family: Bacterial small subunit ribosomal RNA
Source: RNAcentral